Molecule: long non-coding RNA, 2778 nt
Filed under: Solanum lycopersicum (tomato)
Lineage: Eukaryota; Viridiplantae; Streptophyta; Magnoliopsida; Solanales; Solanaceae
Description: long non-coding RNA (SLYC_LNC000635)
Source: RNAcentral
AUUUGAUUUAUGUCCGUCAUGACCGGUAUUUGGACCCACUUUGUUUUGGGCCUUUGGCCCCUUUCCACAUGUCCUAAAAUUCUAACAAUACAAUAAUGAUAAAAGAAACAAGGGCAUAGACCAAAAAAUAAAAAAAUACAAAGUUCAGAAAAAAAAAUUGGGCUUCUUAAGCAAAAAUCCUCAACUUCUUGGUUUGUACGUCGAUUUGUGAGCUUUACUCGAUGGAGGAAUUUGAGCCUUGGCGGCUCUAUGUAGGAAUGCGAGAGGAAGAAAAUUGUUCAUAGUGAACUCGAGUUCCUUUACAUUCAACAUAAAUAAAGGGGAAAUUUAAUAAAUAAUUUAACUAUCGUAGCAUAGGGAAAACAAGUUAACUUACUGGAAAAUAUUCACUUAUUUGGGAAAAAAUAGUACAUCGGCAUAUAUAUAGCCAGACCUUUCUUUUAAAAAAAUAAAUAAAUAGAGCAUAACAUUCAUCUAAAGAAUUGUGAUCAUUAAUAGUACCAAUGCGAUAUGACAAGGAUUGAGCAACUAAGCUAAGAGCAUUAAUAACAGUGAGCCUAAAUCACCACAUAUUUUAUAAUAACAAACUACAUAUUUACCAAAAACUAAGUAUUUGAAAAAAACAUAAACUAAAAGAAAUUGCAGUACAAUAACAUGACAAAGGGGACUGAGGAUAAAAGGGGUAAUAAAUUACAACUAGAGAGAUAAUCGAUCAACAUUAUUUCUGUACACCUCCAAAUUUAAUUACUUAGAGAACUAGAUAGAGCUAAACAUAUAUAAGCUACCUGGGAACACGUAAUAGCAAAGUAUAGGUCACUUGAGGAUGCUACAGGCAAAAAUACCAAAAGAAACAAGGGAUUUAGAGGACCAUACAAUCGAACAAUGACACCCAUAUCGUAAUGACAAUCAAACAUAACGAGAAUCAUACUAAUGUCACGAAACAAGUCACUAUAAGUUGACAGCAACACAACAAAGCACAACCUUCCAGAUUAUAACACUUGAAAGGGCAAAAAGACACUAUAGGCAUCAAACAUGGGGAUCAAUAGGGAAAAGCAGAACAUUAUAGAUUUUUUUUUAAAAAAGACAGUGAGGACUCUAAAUGGGUAGUAAUAAAUACAAUCCAAGGACUCUAAAACAAUAGCUAAAUUGACAACUUUUCAAUAAAAAUAAUAAAAAUUCAUAAAAAUAUAUAACCACAUUAAAACAUACUCACAAGAUGAAAUGAUAAAAAAUAUAUUGUCCAUCUAUGCACUUAAUAGUAAUCAAAUUAGGUGAUACCCGCAUUAAACAUGUAGAAGCCACUAAAAUUUAAUAACAUUACAAUGUGAGACCUCUUACUGUACGUAAAUAGAGAGCAACAAGACAUGAACUAAUUUCCACACACUACCAGAAAAUAAAUUAGCAUGAACUAGCUUCCAUGUUUUCAAAAAAAAGUCACAAGGUGGCAUAACUAGAUUACGGGAAGUUAGGGAAAUCACUAUACCAUACCCAUGAAGGAUAACACCAAAGAAAUCAUGAUUCAAAUGACCUUAAACCCUUAAAUCUCUCGAAACUAAGAUUGGGAAAAUAAAAUAAGAAACUCAGACUUUACCCAACUCGAAUUGCAAAUAUAGGCAUUUUCAGACUGAAAUUUGAACAGCCUGCAGGGAAAAAACUUAACUACAUGAGUCAAAUUAGAUAGUAAGAGCACAAGGAAAUUUUAAGUAAAAGAUGAAAUUAAGUGAUUGGGACAAAAAUGCUACUGCACUACUAUACUUAGUCAAACCAGUCACUCUCAAAAUUUAAACAAGUCAAAAAUCCAAAAACAUUCAAUCAGUUUAUGGAAAGGAAUGAACAACAUGCUCUCCAAAAUUAAUUAUUCAUGCAGAUGCAUAACAAAACAGACAUGAACCAAGACUCACGAGGUAAUUUCGAAACUGAUUACAACAAUUCUAUGAAAAUCAAGAUGAUAGGAGCAACCAUAGUCGUAAACCAGCAUUCGAGUACCCAAACAUACACACUUGAAUCAUAGAAAAUGAAAGACCAAAGUCUUGAUAAUACAAGGCAUCUUUAUUCUGGCCAAAUUUUUAUAAAAGUACAACCGAAUAAACAAAUCAAACGAAAACCCAGACAAAGGAAAAGACGGUAGGAAAAGCGGGAUUAUAUACCUUUUCUGUUAUAACAAAAAGACAUCGAGCUAGACGUUGUGAUCCUUCCACCAUGAAAGUGAAAUCACGAACCAGAAACCCUUGCCGAAAUUUAGAAUUCAAAGCAACGACUAGCCUUUUCAAAAAUUUGAAUCGAAGAACUUCCUAUUUUCUUUGUUUGGAUUUUGCACUAUGUUCUUUCCGUUUUACUUAAAUUCUAUGUAUUUUUUAUCUAGAAAUUUUCCUACCUCCCAAAAAUCUCUGUACCCAAAAAUAUUUUCUAAUUCCCCCCAGCUCCCAAACAAAAAAUUACAAGGGGGCAUAAAUAGAGGAGGUCUUUUGAAAAAAUGGGCGGAAAUGAGGACCCAUUCCAAAGUCAAAAUUUGUUUUAUUGUAAGAGAUAGGGUUGGACAGCUGGGAAUCUAUACAAAAUUGCACAAUUCCUCAACGGAACAACAAUCUGGGCACUUGAUUUCGAACAAGGAUGAGAAAACGCACGAGAUCUCGCUAUCUCACAGUGUUCUUCCUACCAAAUUGUACUCAGGGCAGAGAGAUGAAGAAGACACAAGAAAUUAGUUGAUUUCCGUCUAUCUUUAUGAUGGAAUUGACAUCGUUGGGAUCGUUUAGUUAUACUGUAAUGGGUCGGGUUUGG